UUGCUUCUCUGAUUUUGUAGAUUGAUCUGUUCUGAAAUUCGGUGUUGAGAUGCUGAUUUCAUUUUCGUGUCUGCAAAAAACAAGUGUGUGCAGGAGAUGAAGGUAGGAAAGGGGAAUAAGAUGUUGUGUGGGCUUGUGUAGUUCCAGGAGCUGCCGGUUUAUUUCUGGAAAUUUAUUCUCAUCCACAACAGCAGCGAGUGACACCUCCCUCAGGAGACUGUGCAGGGAAAUGGGAAGGAGAUGCUGUGUGGGCUUGUGUAGUUCCAGGAGCUGCCGGUUUAUUUCUUGAAUUUUAUUCUCAGCCACAGCAGCUUCGAGUGACACCCCCCUCAGAUGGGUUCUCCCCGACAGUUGAAAGGGAGGGUCAAGUCUUUCUCGGUAGAGACCACUCAAGAGGCAUGGCGAUUCGACGUGACCUCAAUCACAGGUGUUGCACCUGCAACGGUGCCUGUCCAAGGCAAUGAACAGCCACAUAUGGAUUGUAGACCAGCGCCACGCAAAUCUGGUACAGGUACUUCCGUGCCUGUAGAUGUUCCGAAUAAAAGGGGUCGUGUUUCUGCCACGUCUUCAGCCCCUAUGGACAGCGAUGAUGAUGAUUUCGUUCCUGCAAAGAAGCACCAAGCUUGUAGUACUAGUGCUGACAAGCUUCAAAAAAAAACUUGUUGCUGAUGCUGCUGCUUCUUCCAAGCCUCCCCGCCACAAUGUUAAUAUUCCACGCCACCCUGCUGUUCGAUGUGAGCCAGCCAUCUUCAACCAAUUUACCGAGCACCUCACAAUGUCUCAACGUCGCAAGAUUUCUGAGAUGGGUUUUGGGGGACUCUUGCAAAUUUCUGCAGAUCGGUUGGAGACUAGUGCCCUUCUAGUAUUUUUGAUGGAUAAGUUGAAUCCAGAUUCAAUGGUUAUUGAUAUUGGACAUGAGAAUGGCCUGCAAAUUAAUCAAAUUAUCGUCAACAAGGUUCUUGGUAUACCAUAU
Molecule: long non-coding RNA, 973 nt
Organism: Phragmites australis (common reed)
Lineage: Eukaryota; Viridiplantae; Streptophyta; Magnoliopsida; Poales; Poaceae
Exons: 4
Source: RefSeq, a predicted model, not a curated record